Molecule: ribosomal RNA, 497 nt
Filed under: uncultured bacterium
Lineage: Bacteria
Description: partial 16S ribosomal RNA
Rfam family: Bacterial small subunit ribosomal RNA
Source: RNAcentral
GAUGAACGCUGGCGGCGUGCCUAAUACAUGCAAGUCGAGCGAACGGACGCGGAGCUUGCUUCUCUGAUGUUAGCGGCAGACGGGUGAGUAACGCGUGGAUCACCUACCUAUAAGAGUGGGAUAUCUUCGGAAAACGGGAGCUUAUACCGGAUAAUAUUUUGCACCGCAUGGUUCAAAAGUGAAAGACGGUCUUGGUGUAACUUAUCGCUGGUUCCGCGCUGGAUUAGGUAGUAGGUAAGGUCAAGGCUUAUCACGGGAAGGAUGCAUAGCCGCCCUGAGAGGGUGAUCGGCCACACUGGAACUGAGACACGGUCCAGACUCCUACGGGAGGCAGCAGUAGGGAAUCGGCCGCAAUGGGCGAAAGCCUGACGGAGCAACGCCGCGUGAGUGAUGAAGGUCUUCGGAUCGUAAAACUCGGUUAUUAGGGAAGAACAUAUGUGGAAGUUACUGUGCACAUCUUGACGGUACCUAAUCAGAAAGCCACGGCUAACUACGUG